RNAcentral lists this ribosomal RNA (429 nucleotides) under Gemmatimonadota bacterium. RNAcentral's name for it is "Gemmatimonadetes bacterium partial 16S ribosomal RNA". It matches the Rfam family "Bacterial small subunit ribosomal RNA", at positions 355 to 776 of the family's 1533-position model. Lineage: Bacteria; Pseudomonadati; Gemmatimonadota. The record is from RNAcentral.
UAGGGAAUCUUCGGCAAUGGACGAAAGUCUGACCGAGCAACGCCGCGUGAGUGAAGAAGGUUUUCGGAUCGUAAAACUCUGUUGUUAGAGAAGAACAAGGACGUUAGUAACUGAACGUCCCCUGACGGUAUCUAACCAGAAAGCCACGGCUAACUACGUGCCAGCAGCCGCGGUAAUACGUAGGUGGCAAGCGUUGUCCGGAUUUUUUGGGCGUAAAGCGAGCGCAGGCGGUUUCUUAAGUCUGAUGUGAAAGCCCCCGGCUCAACCGGGGAGGGUCAUUGGAAACGGGGAGACUUGAGUGCAGAAGAGGAGAGUGGAGUUCCAGGGGUAGCGGUGAAAGGCGUAGAUAGAUGGAGGGACGCCAGUGGCGAAGGCGGCUCUCUGGUCUGUAACUGACGCUGAGGCUAGAAAGCGUGGGGAGCAAACAGG